AGAGUUUGAUCCUGGCUCAGAACGAACGCUGGCGGCGUGCCUAACACAUGCAAGUCCAACGUGAAAGGGGAGCAAUCCCCCGGUAGGGUGGCAAACGGGUGAGUAAUACAUGGGUGAUCUACCUUAGGGAUGGGGAUAUCCUUCCGAAAGGAGGGGCAAUACCGAAUAUUGUCCGGAGCCAUGAAGGGUUCCGGGGAAAGGGAGGCCUCUGAUACAAGCUUUCGCCUUAAGAUGAGCCCAUGGCCCAUCAGCUAGUUGGUAGGGUAAAGGCCUACCAAGGCUACGACGGGUCGCUGGUCUGAGAGGACGACCAGCCACACUGGCACUGAGAUACGGGCCAGACUCCUACGGGAGGCAGCAGUGAGGAAUAUUGCGCAAUGGGGGAAACCCUGACGCAGCAACGCCGCGUGUGGGAAGAAGGCCUUCGGGUCGUAAACCACUUUUGCACGGGACGAAAAAGGGAUAUCGAACAAAUAUCCCCGAUGACGGUACCGUGAGAAUAAGCCACGGCUAACUCUGUGCCAGCAGCCGCGGUAAGACAGAGGUGGCAAGCGUUGUUCGGAAUUACUGGGCGUAAAGAGUCUGUAGGUGGUUUGUCAAGUCUUUGGUGAAAGGCCGUAGCUUAACUAUGGGAAUGCCAAAGAGACUGGCAGGCUGGAGGCUGGGAGAGGGAAGCGGAAUUUCUGGUGUAGCGGUGAAAUGCGUAGAUAUCAGAAGGAAGGCCGGUGGCGAAGGCGGCUUCCU
Molecule: ribosomal RNA, 744 nt
Filed under: uncultured bacterium
Lineage: Bacteria
Description: bacterial SSU rRNA
Rfam family: Bacterial small subunit ribosomal RNA
Source: RNAcentral